UUGCANUGGGGGAACCCUGAUGCAGCGACGCCGCGUGAGUGAUGAAGCCCUUCGGGGUGUAAAGCUCUUUCGGCAGGAACGAUUAUGACGGUACCUGAAGAAGAAGCUGCGGCUAACUACGUGCCAGCAGCCGCGGUAAUACGUAGGCAGCAAGCGUUGUUCGGAGUUACUGGGCGUAAAGAGUGUGUAGGCGGUUCUCUAAGUUCGGUGUGAAAUCUCCCGGCUCAACUGGGAGGGUGCGCCGGAAACUGGAGGGCUUGAGUAUGGGAGAGGAAAGCGGAAUUCCUGGUGUAGCGGUGAAAUGCGUAGAUAUCAGGAGGAACACCUGCGGUGUAGACAGCUUUCUGGACCAUCACUGACGCUGAGACACGAAAGCGUGGGUAGCAAACAGGAUUAGAUACCCUGGUAGUCCACGCCCUAAACGAUGCAUACUUGGUGUGAGCCGUUCAUUCGGUUCGUGCCGGAGCUAACGCGAUAAGCAUCCCGCCUGGGGAGUACGGUCGCAAGGCUAAAACUCAAAAGAAUUGACGGA
Molecule: ribosomal RNA, 532 nt
Filed under: uncultured bacterium
Lineage: Bacteria
Description: bacterial SSU rRNA
Rfam family: Bacterial small subunit ribosomal RNA
Source: RNAcentral